GGGCUAAUGGUGGAUGCCUUGACUGUAAGAGGCGAUGAAGGACGUAUCAGGCUGCGAUAAGCCUCGGGGAGCUGCCAAAGAGCUUUGAUCCGAGGAUUUCCGAAUGGGGCAACCC
Molecule: ribosomal RNA, 115 nt
Filed under: uncultured bacterium
Lineage: Bacteria
Description: partial 23S ribosomal RNA
Rfam family: Bacterial large subunit ribosomal RNA
Source: RNAcentral